RNAcentral lists this small RNA (788 nucleotides) under Arabidopsis thaliana (thale cress). RNAcentral describes it as "ATSL276880". The record is from RNAcentral. Lineage: Eukaryota; Viridiplantae; Streptophyta; Magnoliopsida; Brassicales; Brassicaceae.
AAAACAGAAAUAAUUCACAAAGUCUGAGUCUCAGAAAUCAUACCAGUGAUCGCUCUGUUGCUGGUACCACGUAUCUCACGCGUAGUGCUGCUGCAAUAUGUGCUAACUGCUGCAUAUUUUGCUGCACUCCCUGCUGCACCUGCACUCCCUGCUGCACCUACGCUCCCUUCUGCACCGCCGGCUGUACUACUGCCACUACCAUCCGCUGCAGCUUAGGACAAUUCGGCCUGAGAUGUCCCCUCUCUCUACAGUGGUAGCACUCCCUCGUCUCAGCUCGCUGCGUGCAAUCCGCUACCUUGUGGACAAGGCCUUCACAAGAAAAACAUCCUCCACGACUACCCUGUCCAGUUCUGGAAGGAUGGUCCCACUUCCUCUUAUGCCCCUGCGCAGGCUUGCCGCCCUUGCUAGGUGCCACGUGCUGCUGAGUCUUCUUCGGCUGUACCGCUAGACUCACUGUCUUUACCUCAGCAGCCGUCUCCACUAGUGCCGCCUUCUUGGCGUACUGCGACACUCUACACCGCAACCUCAGAUCCGGUCGAAGUCCCCUCAAGAACUUCCUCAACUGGGGCUGGUCAUCUUCCAUGCCCCGAUCCGUAUACAUCAAGAAUCAGUUAAUCUCUCGGUCAUACUCCCAAACCGACCGCUCACCCUGUGUCAGCUCAAGAAAACGAGCCUCUAUACGGUCGAGCGCUUCCUGCGGAAAGUACUUGGCAUUAAACUCAGCCACAAAAUCUGCCUAAGAUAUAUCUGCUGGCCUUCUCAUGGCAGUCACAUCCACCACCACAAAU